Papaver somniferum (opium poppy) is the source of this 1369-nucleotide long non-coding RNA. RefSeq lists it as uncharacterized. The transcript is spliced from 3 exons. The record is from RefSeq and is a predicted model, not a curated record. Lineage: Eukaryota; Viridiplantae; Streptophyta; Magnoliopsida; Ranunculales; Papaveraceae.
AACAAAUAUCAGAAAUCAGACUACCAUUUCAAGCUAACAAAAAUUUAAAAGCAUCAAAACAUCCUGGUGAUGACGAUCAUAGCCUGUUGUACUAGAAAGAAGCUAGUGAAACAAUUAAUCAGACUGAUGAAGAGAAAUAAAGAGCUAUCAUUAUUAAGCCCUAGAUGAAGAAGCACAGAGACACAGAGAAAUCUGGGGUAUUUCAUUUCAUUUCCUUUGUAACUUUCAUAAAGAAAACCUAGAAUUUUGCAGAGAAAAAACACUCCAAGUUUUCAUUUGGAAGAAAAUGGCAUAUCGUUUCUUCAGUAUUAUCCAUGCUGCAAUCACUGAAAAGGGGGAACUAGCUCUUCCAAAGAGAUUUGUUGGGAAGUGUAGGACGGAAUUGUCUGAUGUUGCAGUUAUCACUAUUCCAAAUGGUCAGGUCUGGCGUGUACAGUUAAGGGAGGCUAAAGGUGAAAUUCUCUUCGGGAGGGGAUGGAAAGACUUCAUGGAUUAUUUUCCUCUUGGUGUUGGCCAUUUUCUGCUUCUUAGAUACGAUGGAAUUCACGUUUUCAUGUUGUUGUUUGUAAUAUGACUGCAACGGAGAUAAAAUACCCUCUUCAUUCAAGCAAUGUCGAGAUAUCCAGUCAUACAAGUGUUUUUUCAGCAUCCACAACGGAAGAAACCGACUAUGUAGAGAACUUGGAGAUUCUUUGUCCAUGCCCAAUUAGCAGAAUACCCUUACCAGCUAGCCGUUGUAUACCUUACCUGCAAAAAAAGAAAGAAAAAGCAGAGCUGAAAGAGAAACCAAUGUUUUCAAGUCUCAGUCUGGGAAUCUUACAUUCAAGAUCGUCAUGCAACCAGCCUAUGUGCGUGAAGGGAGAACUGUGGUGCAUGUACCUGUUGGGUUUAAGGUUUUUAGAGAAGUUGAUCGUGAUAUCGCCACUCUUAGAGAUUCCGAAGGGAGAACAUGGGAUGUUGGAAUUUCAACUUAUCGCGAAAAGCAUACCAAACUGGUGACCGGCUACCGUUUGGAAGUUGGCGAUGUUUGCAUUUUUGAGCUGAUUGACAGGGAUAAUCUCCAGAUAGAUGUUACUAUAAUGCGAGCUCAGGAUGUGGUUUGAUGAUGACCAGGGCCGGCCUUGGGCCAAAGUGGCCGCAGUUUAACCUUGGGGCUUGGGCAGCAAUCCCAAGGGGCCAACAAAAUAGAUACUUAAGUUCCUAGUUAAGGAUAGAAUUUGAAAUUAGAGGAAAGAAGGGUCUUUGUUUCUCUUCCUAAAACAUUUCUAUACACGUAUUUAUCUGUAGUUCAUUACCUUGGAGACUUUGGAUAAACCGUCAAAGCAAAGAUCAAAUGUUUUCAUAAUGGUGCUACAAAAACCAAUAUAAA